GUCCUUUCUGUGUGGAGUUUGCAUGUUCUCCACGUGUCCGCGUGGGUUUCCUCCGGGUGCUCCGGUUUCCUCCCACAGUCCAAAGACGUGCAAGUGAGUCUGUGUGACGCAUUCUCCUACGUGCGAGUGUGCAUGAAAGAGAGGGCAGAUGAGAGGGCAAGCUUUAACACUUUUUAAUGAAUCACAAGAAUCUAGAGAGAGAGAGAGAGAGAGAGAGAGAG
Long non-coding RNA from Trichomycterus rosablanca, 221 nucleotides. RefSeq lists it as uncharacterized. The record is from RefSeq and is a predicted model, not a curated record. NCBI's taxonomy places the organism in Eukaryota, Metazoa, Chordata, Actinopteri, Siluriformes, Trichomycteridae. The transcript is spliced from 3 exons.